This 255-nucleotide ribosomal RNA is filed under the name uncultured prokaryote. RNAcentral describes it as "partial 16S ribosomal RNA". It matches the Rfam family "Bacterial small subunit ribosomal RNA", at positions 521 to 775 of the family's 1533-position model. The record is from RNAcentral.
UAAUACAGAGGUGGCAAGCGUUGUUCGGAAUUACUGGGCGUAAAGGGCGCGUAGGCGGCCUUCUAAGUCAGACGUGAAAUCCCCCGGCUUAACCUGGGAACUGCGUCUGAUACUGGGAGGCUUGAGUAUGGGAGAGGGAUGUAGAAUUCCAGGUGUAGCGGUGAAAUGCGUAGAUAUCUGGAGGAAUACCGGUGGCGAAGGCGGCAUCCUGGACCAUAACUGACGCUGAGACGCGAAAGCGUGGGGAGCAAACAG